Molecule: long non-coding RNA, 1173 nt
Filed under: Ficedula albicollis (Collared flycatcher)
Lineage: Eukaryota; Metazoa; Chordata; Aves; Passeriformes; Muscicapidae
Description: lncRNA (ENSFALG00000023893.1)
Source: RNAcentral
AUGAAAAAGGUGAAAAAUAUGAGAAAAGAGGAAAAGGGAAAGGAGAAGGAGCAAAGGGGAGAAAGACAAAGUGAAAAGAGGAGAAAGGGAAGGGAAAGGGGAAAAGGCCAAGGAGAAAUGGAAGAAGAAAAAAAAAGCAAAGGGACAAGGAGGCUGUGCCCACCUUCCCCCUCGACAGUGCCCAGGGUGCCCACGGGGAGCAGGUGCAGCCUCUGGCAGGGCAUUCCCAUGGCUCCCACGGGCACCCCUGUCCUCUUGGGGGUCACCCUGUUACCUUGUCCCCCUGGUAGGGGGGUGGCAGCUGCCAGUAGUAGGAGUCAGGGGGCAGCUCCCCAAAGCGCUCGUAGGUCAGGUGGGGCUGGGGGUGUCCCAACUGCACCCCAAAGCCGUUGCCCACGCGGGUGCUGCGCUGGCGGUUCACCAGGGCGAACCCCUGGGCAUCCCCCAGGGCAAAGGACGUCCGGAUCUGUGGGAUCAAGGAGUGAGAGGGGUCUGGGACACGUGGGGACACCCUGGGGACAUCUGGGGACAAGAGGGGACACUCACGGUGCCACGGGCGUAGGCAGUGCUGGUGCAGUGCUGAACGAUGCCCAUGCAGAAGCAGGGCAGGCACCCGGCCGGCUCAUCCCCGCUCAGGUGGAAGUGGUGGGGACGGCACACAGCACAGCGGGGACCCUCCACAUUGGCCUGGGGAGGGGAGACAAGUGUGGCGACAUUGCCCUGUCACCCCUCCCAGGGCUGGGGACACACGCACGAGGCUCACCUUGCAGCGACACUGCCCGUUGGCAUCGCAGCCCUCACCGGCGCUGCCACGCGGAUCGCACUGGCAUUGCGCACCGGGGACACCAGGCACUGAGGGGUGACACACCGUCAGCCACAACCCCCGUCAGUGCCACCACGGGGGACACCACUUUGUCCCUGCCCUGUGACACUCACCUCGGCACGGCUCUCCCCGCAGCGGGUCCCCCACGUACCCGGGCGAGCACCUAUCGUGAGACAAACCAAAAGGAGGCAGUGAGAGGAGCAUUCACCCCGAAAACACCCCCCACCCCACCCUGGUAUCCCUGUCACCUCUCGCAGAGACGCCCACUGUGCCCUGGGGCACAGGCACUGCACGUAGGCUGCCCGUCGGUGUCUUCAAAGCAGAUCUUUGUUACCCUGUGGAGGGGAUAA